CCUACGGGGCGCAGCAGUCGAGAAUCAUUCACAAUGGGGGAAACCCUGAUGGUGCGACGCCGCGUGGGGGAAUGAAGGUCUUCGGAUUGUAAACCCCUGUCAUGUGGGAGCAAAUUAAAAAGAUAGUACCACAAGAGGAAGAGACGGCUAACUCUGUGCCAGCAGCCGCGGUAAUACAGAGGUCUCAAGCGUUGUUCGGAAUCACUGGGCGUAAAGCGUGCGUAGGCUGUUUCGUAAGUCGUGUGUGAAAGGCGCGGGCUCAACCCGCGGACGGCACAUGAUACUGCGAGACUAGAGUAAGGGAGAGGGAACCGGAAUUCUCGGUGUAGCAGUGAAAUGCGUAGAGAUCGAGAGGAACACUCGUGGCGAAGGCGGGUUCCUGGACAUUAACUGACGCUGAGGCACGAAGGCCAGGGGAGCGAAAGGGAUUAGAUACCCGUGUAGUC
This 446-nucleotide ribosomal RNA is filed under the name uncultured bacterium. Its description in RNAcentral is "partial 16S ribosomal RNA". It matches the Rfam family "Bacterial small subunit ribosomal RNA", at positions 338 to 795 of the family's 1533-position model. The record is from RNAcentral.